UUGAACACCACCCUCAACAAAGCGAAUUUAUACAAGGUGAAAUUCGCUUUGCCAAAGCGUAUAAAUUCGCCGUUGUUUUUAAUGUAAUCGGAAUGAAAAAACAAAAACAUUGGGUCUUCCUCGAAAUGAAAACAUAAUUUUUGAAGUGUCCAAAGGUACAAAUGCAGUGUAAAAUAAAAACAAGAACAUGAGUAUUCAACUCACCAGUUUUGAAUUAAGUUCCGAAGCGCUAAUUGGAUCACUACUAGCAUUAUGUGCGUUAUUCGCUUUUUGUCGCAGUUUAUUACUGGAGGACGUAAUUUUCAUACCAAGGAAAACGAAACAUAGCUGGAAAUCUAUCAAGCUACUCGAAAAGUUGAAGUAUUUUGCGUUUCUACAGGUCUGUUAUUGCAAUGCAUGUGAGAUCCUUUUGACCUCUUCAGCAGGUCUCUUCUGUGAUUGCUGUGGUGUUUGUUCUCAUUCCGCAAAUAUGUGCACCAAAGAAAUAGACAACAAUUAUCGCUGCAAAGAUAAAUGGAUUCGAAAUGAAAAAUCGAUGCGUCAUCUAUGGGUUCGUGGCAACUUGCCCGUUGGAGUAGUCUGCGUUGCAUGUAAGGGCGAAAUCGAUUAUCACGCCACCGCAGGCCUAUUUGGUUGGCGAUGUGCAUGGUGUCAUCGUUGCUAUCACAAUAACUGCUAUAAACAUAUAGAUGCACGAUCAGAGUGUGAUUUGGGUGAAUUUCGGGACAUGAUCUUUCCACCGUAUUGUAUUGUUGCGGCGCGCACUCGCGAGUCGGUACGAUUACAUUUAGCUGGCAUUAAACCACCUAACAUUGAAAGUUGGGAGCCUUUAAUAGUGAUUGCUAAUACAAAAUCUGGAAGCAGUACAGGUUCAGAUGUUGUAUCUUUGCUGCGAGGUUAUCUCCACCCUCUGCAAGUGAUGGAACUGGGUACUCGCGGUCCUCAAGAUGCCAUGCAAUGGGCAGCGAAGGCUACUCCUAGGCCUUGUCGCAUUCUAGUAGCAGGAGGAGAUGGCACUGUCGGUUGGGUAUUAAACACAAUCCACGCUCUCAAUAUAAAGCCUAUACCUUCUGUUGCUAUAAUGCCAUUGGGAACAGGUAACGAUCUUUCAAGAGUGAUGGGUUGGGGCCCAGAGCCGCCUGCAAGUUUAGAUCCGGUUGCAAUCCUCAGAAAUAUUAAGCGGGCCCGAUCAGUAAAUUUAGAUCGUUUCGACUUACAAGUUGAAAGACUACAUUAUAGACUGCCUAUUCAACGACAUCCAAUCAAAACGAUACAUGUUUAUAACUACUUCAGUAUUGGAGUGGAUGCGUUGGUCACUUAUAAUUUUCAUAAAACCCGAGAAUCUCGAUUUUACGUAUUAAGUAGUCGUAUUUUUAAUAAGCUAAUUUAUUUUGGUUUCGGUACUCAACAAAUAGUACAACGUGAUUGUGAACGAAUUGAAAAAAAGUUGGAUCUGUAUUUGGACGGUCAUCUUGCAGAGCUGCCUGAACUGCAAUCGAUUAUCUUCCUUAACAUUGAUUCUUGGGGAGCAGGCUGCAAACUUUGUGUAAUUCAGAUUCAAAUGCUAAGAUAGACAACUCUAUAUCUGAUGGUAUUAUGGAAGUUUUCGGUCUUGUAUCUUCAUUCCACAUGGCUCAACUACAGUGUGGCAUAAGUAAACCUGUGCGGAUUGGUCAAGCUAGGCAAAUACGAGUUGUCGUAAAGGCCACAUGUCCUAUGCAAUCUGAUGGUGAGCCGUGGAUGCAAGCUCCAGCUGAUAUACGCUUACAGUCGCGCAGUCAAGUACGCAUGCUAAAGUUGGAAUGUUAGUGCUAACUUAACUUAUUCAUUUAAAGCUUUAUAUCAAUGUUGUCCAGCGGGCGGCGGGCGCUAAAAUAUGGUCCGCGAAAAGUUACAAACUUUGAAUGAACACGCCGCUCUCUGGGAAAAAAUAAUUUGAGUCAAAAAAUCCUUAAACCUUAAUCGAUUUCGUAAUUUUGUUUUGAAUGUUCGUUAUUAAUUGUACAUUAAGAUAGUGCUCCUUUCUUAAAGAGUCAUAAAAUUAAAGAAAAUA
Molecule: unclassified non-coding RNA, 2053 nt
Filed under: Rhagoletis pomonella (apple maggot)
Lineage: Eukaryota; Metazoa; Arthropoda; Insecta; Diptera; Tephritidae
Description: diacylglycerol kinase epsilon, transcript variant X2
Source: RNAcentral